CUCACCAAUGCUCUAUAGUUUAUUCCCAUCAAGCUAACAAGGGAAAACUACAUCCUAUGUAAGACCCAGAUCAUGCCUCUCCUGCACAGCAAUGAUCUUCUCGGUUUCGUGGACGGCAGUGAAGUUCGACCAGCAGAGACCCUUUCUUCCACUGUCGAGGGUGGACUUCCACAGCCCAACCCAGCAUACAUCCCAUGGAUGAAGUGCAACC
RNAcentral lists this long non-coding RNA (211 nucleotides) under Elaeis guineensis (African oil palm). RNAcentral's name for it is "long non-coding RNA (EGUI_LNC040178)". The record is from RNAcentral. Lineage: Eukaryota; Viridiplantae; Streptophyta; Magnoliopsida; Arecales; Arecaceae.